RNAcentral lists this ribosomal RNA (253 nucleotides) under uncultured bacterium. RNAcentral's name for it is "partial 16S ribosomal RNA". It matches the Rfam family "Bacterial small subunit ribosomal RNA", at positions 524 to 776 of the family's 1533-position model. The record is from RNAcentral.
UACGUAGGGGGCUAGCGUUGUCCGGAAUCAUUGGGCGUAAAGCGCGUGUAGGCGGUCCGGUAAGUCCGCUGUGAAAGUCGAGGGCUCAACCCUCGAAUGCCGGUGGAUACUGUCGGGCUUGAGUACGGGAGAGGCGAGCGGAAUUCCUGGUGUAGCGGUGAAAUGCGCAGAUAUCAGGAGGAACACCGAUUGCGAAGGCAGCUCGCUGGAACGUUACUGACGCUGAGACGCGAAAGCGUGGGGAGCAAACAGG